GUGAGGAAUAUUGCGCAAUGGAGGAAACUCUGACGCAGCAACGCCGCGUGGGGGAUGAAGCUUUAUGGAGUGUAAACCCCUGUAAGCAGGGACGAAAGGUAGAUAAUCGAAAGGUUAUGUACGUGACGGUACCUGCAGAGUAAGCUCCGGCUAACUCCGUGCCAGCAGCCGCGGUAAUACGGGGGGAGCGAGCGUUGUCCGGAAUUACUGGGCGUAAAGGGCGUGUAGGCGGUUUGAUAAGUCAGAUGUUAAAGGUUCCGGCUUAACCGGAGAAGGUCAUUUGAAACUGUCAGGCUGGAGUUCGAGAGAGGGUAGCGGAAUUCCCAGUGUAGCGGUGAAAUGCGUAGAUAUUGGGAAGAACACCAGUAGCGCAGGCGGCUACCUGGCUCGUAACUGACGCUGAGGCGCGAAAGCGUGGGGAGCAAACAGGAUUAGAUACCCCGGUAGUCC
This 450-nucleotide ribosomal RNA is filed under the name uncultured bacterium. RNAcentral describes it as "bacterial SSU rRNA". It matches the Rfam family "Bacterial small subunit ribosomal RNA", at positions 354 to 796 of the family's 1533-position model. The record is from RNAcentral.